CCUACGGGUGACAGCAGUGAGGAAUAUUGGUCAAUGGCCGCAGGGCUGAACCAGCCAAGUCGCGUGAGGGAUGACGGUCCUAUGGAUUGUAAACCUCUUUUGUCAGGGAGCAAAGGGCGCCACGUGUGGCGCUUUGCGAGUACCUGAAGAAAAAGCAUCGGCUAACUCCGUGCCAGCAGCCGCGGUAAUACGGAGGAUGCGAGCGUUAUCCGGAUUUAUUGGGUUUAAAGGGUGCGCAGGCGGAAUGUCAAGUCAGCGGUAAAAUUUCGGGGCUCAACCCCGUCGUGCCGUUGAAACUGGCGUUCUUGAGUGAGCGAGAAGUAUGCGGAAUGCGUGGUGUAGCGGUGAAAUGCAUAGAUAUCACGCAGAACCCCGAUUGCGAAGGCAGCAUACCGGUGCACAACUGACGCUCAGGCACGAAAGCGUGGGUAUCGAACAGGAUUAGAUACCCGGGUAGUC
This 459-nucleotide ribosomal RNA is filed under the name uncultured bacterium. RNAcentral describes it as "partial 16S ribosomal RNA". It matches the Rfam family "Bacterial small subunit ribosomal RNA", at positions 338 to 795 of the family's 1533-position model. The record is from RNAcentral.